RNAcentral lists this long non-coding RNA (1383 nucleotides) under Numida meleagris (helmeted guineafowl). RNAcentral's name for it is "lncRNA (ENSNMEG00000010141.1)". The record is from RNAcentral. Lineage: Eukaryota; Metazoa; Chordata; Aves; Galliformes; Numididae.
GCUUAAUGGCAGUUUGUGAUUUGCUGUGUACUCAGUCUUGAACGUACAAUGAAAGGAGAACAUGAGCUAUUAUAUUAGCCUUUUGAAAGAUUUCUAACUCUGUUAAUCAAAUUGUUUUAUCCAAAGAUUUGAAUGUCAUUGUUUUGUUUUGUUUUGUUUUUUAGUUUUGGUGUUUUUUUAGUUUUUUUUUUUAAUUUUAAUUUUUAUUUUUACCAGGUUGAUAUGAAGGUUAUAGUCUGGAGCAGAGAAGUGGUGGAAGAUUCCCACCAAAAGUGUGAGCAAUGAGCCUUUUCAACUUGGGGAAGAGAACUGUGGGGAAAAAUGCGAAACAUGAAAGAGAGAGAAGAGCUUUCAUCCUCAGUACAAGAAACAGACUCAGGAAACUCCCGAGGCUAAGUAAAACUGAAAUGGAGGUAUCAGCAAUCAGACUACAAAUUGUAUGAAAUCAUGGAUCAGCUAAGAAAAAAAUAAGUACUAAAACAUAACCGUUCUGGUCAUUUCUUAUUUCUUUCAGAACUGUUUUCAGAUUCUUAAUCAAGAAAAGAAGCCUUUACUUCAUUAGGUUGAAAGUUUUGUUCUUAAGACAGGCUGAUGUUUAAAGUUCAUUAACAAGAUAAUGGCAAGUCAGUAUUAAGUAAGGAAUUCAUGUAAAGGCACCCAAAACAAGCUGGGUAGCAUCAGGAACUUCUGUGUGAACCCAACUAAUCUACAAAAAUGGUUUUCUGUACUGGGUUUUUGUAUGCUAGGGAAAGGAGGAGAAGCUUCCAAAGCUGUUUCAAGAAGAGCAGUCAAUAAGGAGGCAGACCACGAUGUUGUACUUCUUCACAGUGGAAUGUGUGUAUUCUAAAACCUAUAAAGCAAAAAAGCAAAGUGCAGUCAGAUUUGCCUCCUCUGGAAACUCUGCCAGAGAACCUGGUGACUUCCAGCAUAUUGCAAACAGAAUCUGAGCAGGCUUUAGGGUAAAGAUAGACACAUUUAUUUCCUUUGUAAUGUGCAGUUAAUUUAUCCCAUCUUUAUUGCCCUUGCUGGUGAAAUAGAUCCUGUACCGAAGUUUUUGUAACCUGCUACAAGAAUGCAGCAAAAGAAGUAAGGUGACACAGGCGAAAUUCCGUCCAGAGUAUAUUUGACGUACUAAACAACCAAUUGCAUGCAUCAUGAAAUGUUAUUUGCCUUCUUCUCAGCAGAAUAGUUUAACCACAGUACAGUGUUAAUAAUAGGACUCAAAACAUUGAUUGUGUAAGGUGAUUACUGGCCACACACUCCUGAUACUUAAGCAGUGAUCUGAAAACUAGGUUUCUCCACUUAAAGUAGAAUAUUUGAAGUAUUCACUUCCAAUUCCAUUGUGAAUAUGGAACAAAAAAUGUUGAAGAAAUUAAAGCAGCG